UAAAAAAAAUUGAAGAUUUUUUCAACUUUGAAGGCUCACAAUUCUAGAAAUAUUAUUGUUCUUCAAGGCUGAUACUAAAAAAGUUGAAUGUAGUAAUUGUUUUGCUUUAAUUCAGACGAUUGAAGUUGCUGAGGUAUCCUAACUCAAAUUGACAAAACUUGAUAAUUAGUUCAAAAUUUUGCUUAUAAAUGUUGAAAUCAGUUAGGUUUGAACCGUUGAUAAAAUAAAAUAACCAAAAAUAGUAUUUUUCGAAUCCAACCACAAUCUUUUAUUGGAAUUUAGUAAACCAAAGUUGCAAUGGUUUUAUUGGGGUUAAUUGUUCUAAAUUAGAAAUUUAUAUGGUACACCUUGUUAGAUUCAAAUCAUGACGAUGAGGUGCACUGCCAUAAACUACCAAUCAGACCUUUUGAAAGGGGAAAAAUAUUAUUUUUGCUCGUUUCACAUAGAGCAUGACUGUGCAUUCAAUAACAAGUUCAAGAAUAAUACACACUGCAGUCUAUUAAACACAAAGAAACCUCAUAGCACAAUCAACUAGUGGCCUUACAACAUAAUCCGAAUCAAAUGGGAUUUUAAUUUAGUUCUUUAAUGUGUUUAACAUUGAAAUUUGAGUUCUACCAGUAUAAACCUUCGACAGCUUGGCAACAGUGACGUCACGAAAAAAAUCCAAUAUGGCUCUCGGCACUAUAUCUCAGAAUCAAAACAACCCAAAAUUAAGAACGCCACCGCAUCAAAACAAAGUUAAGUUGACGUUCUUAAUUUUGGGCUGCGGUCAACACCCCAAAAUAAAAGUUCGCUGCUUGAACUGCCUGCCCCAAAAUAUUUUUUGUUUACUUUCAUGGUAUCGAACGGAUCGCAUGGCAGAUUUUUUGUUAAAUUUUGUGGAAACAAGAACAUCAAGGUGAAAACGUCGUCAACAAAAACGUUUAAUUUCAAGCGGAAUGACAUCCGGAUCUGCCUCCGUAUGGUUGAAAUUCAUUGAAGAGCUAUCCACACGAGUAACCAAAGAGAACAAGCCUAUGGCCAUUCAGUUCGCUUACAUAUUGGAACCAGUCUGGGCUGCGGAUGAAAAUAUUGAUGAAUUGAUUCCAAUCACACCGGAAUGCGAAACGGAUCUCUAUUUGGCAAUGGUAGGAAGCUUCCUUCAAGACCAAUUGCAACUGGGAGCCUGACUAUUAUUUUAUAAUAUUCUUUUAAAAUUUCGGUGCCGGAACUUCUUUAAGAAAUGGACCCGUGUGAAUUCUGGAUCACAGAAGAUUAUCAUAAUCGAUACGUGUUGAAAGUGUAUAGUUCUAAAGUUUUUCAGAGUGACCGACCUACCGUACCGAUAGGCUCUGGUUAUGGUAAAUACGCUGAUGAACAGGAAAACAUGCCCAAUAUAAAGUAAGCAAAACCAGUUUCUAAACCGUUUGGUAAUUUCUCGGUUGCCACUUUUGCUUUGUAAAUAUAUGAAUUGGAGAUCAUCUUCCGGCAGCAUCCAUCAGGCUAAGUAAAUAGCUAAGUUCUAAGAACUUAGAAACUCAAGGAUUACAAAGAGUUGUUUAUUACUGAU
This is a long non-coding RNA of Uranotaenia lowii, 1549 nucleotides long. RefSeq lists it as uncharacterized. The record is from RefSeq and is a predicted model, not a curated record. Lineage: Eukaryota; Metazoa; Arthropoda; Insecta; Diptera; Culicidae. The transcript is spliced from 3 exons.